UACGUAGGGUGCAAGCGUUAAUCGGAAUUACUGGGCGUAAAGCGUGCGCAGGCGGUUUUGUAAGACAGUGGUGAAAUCCCCGGGGCUCAACCUCGGAACUGCCAUUGAUACUAGUAGCCUUGAAUUAUGUUGAGGUUGGCGGAAUAUAACAUGUAGCGGUGAAAUGCUUAGAUAUGUUAUGGAACACCGAUUGCGAAGGCAGCUGGCUAAACAUAUAUUGACGCUGAUGCACGAAAGUGUGGGUAGCGAACAGG
RNAcentral lists this ribosomal RNA (254 nucleotides) under uncultured bacterium. RNAcentral describes it as "partial 16S ribosomal RNA". It matches the Rfam family "Bacterial small subunit ribosomal RNA", at positions 524 to 776 of the family's 1533-position model. The record is from RNAcentral.